This 243-nucleotide ribosomal RNA is filed under the name uncultured Staphylococcus sp. RNAcentral's name for it is "partial 16S ribosomal RNA". It matches the Rfam family "Bacterial small subunit ribosomal RNA", at positions 96 to 334 of the family's 1533-position model. Lineage: Bacteria; Bacillati; Bacillota; Bacilli; Caryophanales; Staphylococcaceae. The record is from RNAcentral.
CGGCGGACGGGUGAGCAACACGUGGAUAACCUACCUAUAAGACUGGGAUAACUUCGGGAAACCGGAGCUAAUACCGGAUAAUAUUUUGAACCGCAUGGUUCAAAGUAAAAGACGGUCUUGCUGUCACUUAUAGAUGGAUCCGCGCUGCAUUAGCUAGUUGGUAAGGUAACGGCUUACCAAGGCAACGAUGCAUAGCCGACCUGAGAGGGUGAUCGGCCACACUGGAACUGAGACACGGUCCAG